AUGGUGCUGAUCCGGUCCUUGCUGCUGGAUCCGGCCCUCUCCACUCCUCCUCCCAGUCUGAUCCAAUGGCGACUGCACGACGUCGACCUCCCGGAUGGCGUGAAGUCCCAGCGGCAACCUCAGGCCCCUUGCGGUUGGGGUCGAUUUGAGGUGGCUCCGGUGGAAACAUGGACCACAUCACACUGUUACAGGGGCUCCCGAGGCGACAUCCAGUUGCUCCGUGUUCGUUUUGCACAUGUUCAUAGUGGGCAACCUCGAGGUCAUCGUCACUUCGAGCGCGGCGAGAUCCUCGAGGUCGUCAUCAUCACAGACAAGGGCACUGGCAGAUCCAAUGGCAGCGGAUUCGAGGCGGAGGCGGCCAUUAGGGUGUGCUUGAGUCCGUACCCGAUGAUUAGCGGCCGGAGGGCAACUGCAACCUUGCAUGCCUCGGGUCCAGAGGUCCAAGGCACCACAACCAACUGCCUCUUCAGCCAUAUGCUGCAGAUGGUUGCCCUUCAAGCAUCAACAAAUUGGAAAAUUCAAGCUCUGAUGAGAUUACAAGCAGGGCAGAAAGGGAAUCAACACCAUCACUCCAAAACAUUGAAGGCAGUAGAUUACCGAGCCUGCAUCAUGAUGGCCCUUCUUUAUGUCAGUUGUCUUGGACCAGUUAAAGUCUGUUCUGCUGAAUGCCUCUUUUAUUUGCCAAGCUCCAAUGGCUUACCAAGAUGUGGCUUUUUUCAUGGACCAAGGCGGAACAAUGGAAGGCACAAUUCCAAGUACAGCUCUUCAAGAACAGGAUCUCUGAAGGAACAACAAUUUACAAGCUUGGCGCUUACCAGGAAACUUGGCCUUCAAGUCCUGUCUGGCAACUCGAUGGACCAGUACUAUAAACUGGAAAUAAAGAGAACUGAAGUGUCCCCUUCCAUGGCGUUGGGCGGCCUUUCUCUGCCAGGCGCGGCGGCUCCUCGGUCUGAGCUGUGUGCAAGGAAGCUCAAGACAUUGGAGGAAAGCAUUGUCGGAUAUAUGGUAAACCGCAGGAUGUUUUCCCCACCAUGGAUGUCUUCUUAUGUCAACCUGCUCUUGAUAUAUAAUACGCCAUCAUCUCUUGGAGUAUGUGAGUACAUUUUCAUAGUUUUGCUAAAGUCUAGAAAAGAUGUCAAGCAAUGGUCUGAGAUAAAACGGAUGGCUUCGGAUGAUGCUUUGAAAAUAGUAUAUAUCAAAGAGAUGGAGAGGGAUUAUGUCGAUGUUCAAAAAGAAUCCAUAGACAAGGGUCCCAAGGCAAUGUCGUUGGAAGGGGUUGAAAAUUUUCUGAGCUUUAUACAACAAUAUUGGAUAUGCAAGCAGAAAAAAAAGGCUAAGGCCCCUUUUGGUUCAUAG
RNAcentral lists this ribosomal RNA (1356 nucleotides) under Triticum aestivum (bread wheat). RNAcentral's name for it is "partial small subunit ribosomal RNA". The record is from RNAcentral. Lineage: Eukaryota; Viridiplantae; Streptophyta; Magnoliopsida; Poales; Poaceae.